This 502-nucleotide ribosomal RNA is filed under the name uncultured bacterium. Its description in RNAcentral is "partial 16S ribosomal RNA". It matches the Rfam family "Bacterial small subunit ribosomal RNA", at positions 28 to 523 of the family's 1533-position model. The record is from RNAcentral.
GAUGAACGCUAGCGGCAGGCCUAACACAUGCAAGUCGAGGGGCAGCACAGAAACAGCAAUGUUUUGGUGGCGACCGGCGGACGGGUGCGUAACGCGUAUGCAACCUACCUUUAACAGGGGGAUAACGGAGAGAGAUUUCCACUAAUACCACAUAACAUCGAUCAAGAAAUCUUGAUUGGUUGAAAACUCCGGUGGUUAAAGAUGGGCAUGCGUUGUAUUAGGUAGUUGGUGGGGUAAUGGCUCACCAAGCCUACGAUACAUAGGGGGACUGAGAGGUUAGCCCCCCACACUGGUACUGAGACACGGACCAGACUCCUACGGGAGGCAGCAGUGAGGAAUAUUGGUCAAUGGGGGCAACCCUGAACCAGCCAUGCCGCGUGCAGGAAGACGGCUCUAUGAGUUGUAAACUGCUUUUAAACAGGGAUAAAGCACAGUAUGUAUACUGUGUUGAAGGUACUGUAAGAAUAAGGAUCGGCUAACUCCGUGCCAGCCGCCGCGGUAA